AUACGGAGGGUGCAAGCGUUGUUCGGAAUCACUGGGCGUAAAGGGCGCGCAGGCGGUUUUACAAGUCAGAUGUGAAAGCCCACGGCUCAACCGAGGAAGUGCAUUUGAAACUGUAAGACUUGAGUAUCAGAGGGGAAGGUGGAAUUCCCGGUGUAGAGGUGAAAUUCGUAGAUAUCGGGAGGAAUACCGGUGGCGAAGGCGACUUUCUGGCUGAAUACUGACGCUGAGGCGCGAAAGCGUGGGGAGCAAACAGGAUUAGAAACCCCAGUAGUCC
RNAcentral lists this ribosomal RNA (274 nucleotides) under uncultured bacterium. RNAcentral's name for it is "partial 16S ribosomal RNA". It matches the Rfam family "Bacterial small subunit ribosomal RNA", at positions 523 to 796 of the family's 1533-position model. The record is from RNAcentral.